RNAcentral lists this ribosomal RNA (252 nucleotides) under uncultured bacterium. RNAcentral describes it as "partial 16S ribosomal RNA". It matches the Rfam family "Bacterial small subunit ribosomal RNA", at positions 524 to 776 of the family's 1533-position model. The record is from RNAcentral.
UACGUAGGGUGCAAGCGUUGUCCGGAAUUAUUGGGCGUAAAGAGCUCGUAGGCGGUUUGUCGCGUCUGCUGUGAAAACGCGAGGCUCAACCUCGCGCCUGCAGUGGGUACGGGCAGACUAGAGUGUGGUAGGGGAGAUUGGAAUUCCUGGUGUAGCGGUGGAAUGCGCAGAUAUCAGGAGGAACACCGAUGGCGAAGGCAGAUCUCUGGGCCAUUACUGACGCUGAGGAGCGAAAGCGUGGGAGCGAACAGG